RNAcentral lists this ribosomal RNA (937 nucleotides) under Wolbachia endosymbiont of Dactylopius coccus. RNAcentral's name for it is "bacterial SSU rRNA". It matches the Rfam family "Bacterial small subunit ribosomal RNA", at positions 8 to 976 of the family's 1533-position model. The record is from RNAcentral. Lineage: Bacteria; Pseudomonadati; Pseudomonadota; Alphaproteobacteria; Rickettsiales; Anaplasmataceae.
AGAGUUUGAUCCUGGCUCAGAAUGAACGCUGGCGGCAGGCCUAACACAUGCAAGUCGAACGGAGUUAUGUUGUAGCUUGCUAUGGUAUAACUUAGUGGCAGACGGGUGAGUAAUGUAUAGGAAUCUACCUAGUAGUACGGAAUAAUUGUUGGAAACGGCAACUAAUACCGUAUACGCCCUACGGGGGAAAAAUUUAUUGCUAUUAGAUGAGCCUAUAUUAGAUUAGCUAGUUGGUGGAGUAAUAGCCUACCAAGGCAAUGAUCUAUAGCUGAUCUGAGAGGAUGAUCAGCCACACUGGAACUGAGAUACGGUCCAGACUCCUACGGGAGGCAGCAGUGGGGAAUAUUGGACAAUGGGCGAAAGCCUGAUCCAGCCAUGCCGCAUGAGUGAAGAAGGCCUUUGGGUUGUAAAGCUCUUUUAGUGAGGAAGAUAAUGACGGUACUCACAGAAGAAGUCCUGGCUAACUCCGUGCCAGCAGCCGCGGUAAUACGGAGAGGGCUAGCGUUAUUCGGAAUUAUUGGGCGUAAAGGGCGCGUAGGCUGGUUAAUAAGUUAAAAGUGAAAUCCCGAGGCUUAACCUUGGAAUUGCUUUUAAAACUAUUAAUCUAGAGAUUGAAAGAGGAUAGAGGAAUUCCUGAUGUAGAGGUAAAAUUCGUAAAUAUUAGGAGGAACACCAGUGGCGAAGGCGUCUAUCUGGUUCAAAUCUGACGCUGAAGCGCGAAGGCGUGGGGAGCAAACAGGAUUAGAUACCCUGGUAGUCCACGCUGUAAACGAUGAAUGUUAAAUAUGGGAAGUUUACUUUCUGUAUUACAGCUAACGCGUUAAACAUUCCGCCUGGGGACUACGGUCGCAAGAUUAAAACUCAAAGGAAUUGACGGGGACCCGCACAAGCGGUGGAGCAUGUGGUUUAAUUCGAUGCAACGCGAAAAACCUUACCA